GAUGAACGCUGGCGGCGUGCCUAAUACAUGCAAGUCGAGCGAACAGACGAGGAGCUUGCUCCUCUGACGUUAGCGGCGGACGGGUGAGUAACACGUGGAUAACCUACCUAUAAGACUGGGAUAACUUCGGGAAACCGGAGCUAAUACCGGAUAAUAUAUUGAACCGCAUGGUUCAAUAGUGAAAGACGGUUUUGCUGUCACUUAUAGAUGGAUCCGCGCCGCAUUAGCUAGUUGGUAAGGUAACGGCUUACCAAGGCAACGAUGCGUAGCCGACCUGAGUGGGUGAUCGCCCACCCUGGAGCUGAGACACGGUCCAUACUCCUACGGUAGGCAGCAGUAGGGAAUCUUCCGCAAUGGGCGAGAGCCUGACGGAGCAACGCCGCGUGAGUGAUGAAGGUCUUCGGAUCGUAAAACUCUGUUAUUAGGGAAGAACAAAUGUGUAAUUAACUGUGCACGUCUUGACGGUACCUAAUCAGAAAGCCCCGGCUAACUACGUG
This 497-nucleotide ribosomal RNA is filed under the name uncultured bacterium. RNAcentral's name for it is "partial 16S ribosomal RNA". It matches the Rfam family "Bacterial small subunit ribosomal RNA", at positions 28 to 507 of the family's 1533-position model. The record is from RNAcentral.